UGUCGGCGUGGUGGGAUACCGAGGGGUUCUGACGAUCGAGCCAGUUCCACCAUACUGGAGCCCCACCUGACCGAGCAUCUGUGUGCGCCGCAUGAGCAAUCUUGGGCGUUGUUGUCAGCAACUGCUGGGCAAUCAAAAGAUUUAACACUUCUUUUAGCUAUCACUGAAAGAAAAAGAAGACAGAAGGAUUGAAGUGGCAGCUGGCUUUGUAUUGAAAUGUUUGAUAUUAACUUGGAAGCUACUCAACAUAUGCAGCGUAAAGAACAAAGUUUGGUGGUACACUUAUCUAUAUUAAUCUGUGGUGUGAUGGUUGUUAGUAACUACUCUACUAGUAGGCCAUCUAUUCUCUUUUGUCAACUGCAGAUAAUGUUGAAAUCAUCUGCAUCUCUCUGUUCCUUUUAUUUUUAUUCUAAAAUGCCCACCUAAAAGCAUGACUAAUGAAAAAAGAAUGCGCGACCAAAAAUUUCUGCCCCUGCAAGUAUAAUGAUAUUAUCUAAUAAACUCCACUCUAGUUACUUAGUUUUUUCGUCACAAAAUCCAUUAAUUUAAUUAGAUUUUCGUUA
Molecule: long non-coding RNA, 563 nt
Organism: Dendrobium catenatum
Lineage: Eukaryota; Viridiplantae; Streptophyta; Magnoliopsida; Asparagales; Orchidaceae
Exons: 2
Source: RefSeq, a predicted model, not a curated record